RNAcentral lists this non-coding RNA (30 nucleotides) under Homo sapiens (human). Lineage: Eukaryota; Metazoa; Chordata; Mammalia; Primates; Hominidae. The record is from RNAcentral.
UCCGCUUUUCAGCUGACUCCUCGAUUGCUC